GACGAACGCUGGCGGCGUGCUUAACACAUGCAAGUCGAACGGAAAGGCCCUGCUUUUUUGGUGUUCUCUAGUGGCUAACGGGUGGGUAACAAGUGAGUAACCUACCCUUGACUUUGGGAUAACUUCAGGUAACUACGGCUACUACCGGAUCGGAGCUCCUGCUGCAUGGUGGGGGUUGGAUAGUUUCGUCGGUUGGGGAUGGACUCGCGGCUUAUCAGCUUGUUGGUGGGGUAGUGGCUUACCAAGGCUUUGACGGGUAGCCGUCCUGAGAGGGUGACCGGGCACAUGGGGACUGAGAGAGGGCGCAGACGGGAAUGGGAGGCAGUAGGGGGGAAUAUGGUACAGUGGGCGGAAGUGUGAGGCAGAAACGUCGCGGUUGUGAUGAAGGUUUUGGGGUGGGGAACCGAGUUAGGUUGAGACGAAGAGUGAGUGACGGUAAUGGGUAAAGAAGCACCGGCUAACUACGUG
RNAcentral lists this ribosomal RNA (468 nucleotides) under uncultured bacterium. RNAcentral describes it as "partial 16S ribosomal RNA". It matches the Rfam family "Bacterial small subunit ribosomal RNA", at positions 28 to 507 of the family's 1533-position model. The record is from RNAcentral.